UAAAAUAAUAAAGCUGUUUUAAAGACAGCAGGUGCUUUUGCAUAAAGGGUUUCGCCCGCCUGCCGAGAAACGCGAAAAAACAUUCAAUUGUAUUUUUUUGCCUCUUUCUCGCAAGGGAAAGAGGCUUUUUUAUGUGCUUA
Non-coding RNA from Subdoligranulum sp. 4_3_54A2FAA, 140 nucleotides. The record is from Rfam. NCBI's taxonomy places the organism in Bacteria, Bacillati, Bacillota, Clostridia, Eubacteriales, Oscillospiraceae.